Humulus lupulus (European hop) is the source of this 765-nucleotide long non-coding RNA. RefSeq lists it as uncharacterized. The transcript is spliced from 5 exons. The record is from RefSeq and is a predicted model, not a curated record. NCBI's taxonomy places the organism in Eukaryota, Viridiplantae, Streptophyta, Magnoliopsida, Rosales, Cannabaceae.
AUUUGAAGGGAUAGGAUUGGAGCCUUCACACUUGGUUUCUUUCCUUAGGUUUAGGUCACUAGGGUAUUAUAAAUAGAAGAACAUAGGAGCUUAGGAAAACCCUUCGGUGGCUGCCGAAAUCAAAAGAGAAGAAAAGGGGAAAGGCAAAGCUUUGGUGCUAGGGGAAAGGAAGAAUAGCAAAAUGUUAAGGUUUGGGUAUUAGAGACAUAUCCUAGAGGGACACAAGCUUAGGGUUCGGUCACCAUUAAGAAAAUCAAAGCUUGUUGUGAAGUAUUCGUGCUCUUAUUUUGUGCUUGGACCUGAGUGCUGCAACAUUAUUAAAGGCAGACGUGCCUAAGAUUCUGGCCAAAAGUGUGUCAGGGAAAUUUAAGGCCAAAAGGGUGCCAGGUGAAUUAUGGCCAAAAGGGUGCCAUGAAGAUGACCAAAAGUAGACACUAGAUGGACUUGUAUGGCACGCAUGGUGAGCUGAGUCAGUUUUCCAAGAGUAUGUAUGUAUGCUGCAGGGAGCCAAUGAACGAGGAAAUGAUCUGAAACGCCGUAGUGCCUUGGAGUCUUUCUUAUGUUUAAUUUAUCAGUGGGAUGUAAUUUAGUUAUUUUUUACAACUGCAUAAAACUCUCUUUUGUUUUGAACAUUGGAUCCAAACUCCGCAUACAUUUCCAAUAAAGCCCCUCUGUGUUUUUUGACAAAGUUAUGAAAUCUUUUGAGUUAUUGUUAAAACUAGUAUUUUAAAUAAAAAUAAUAAAUUAAGGGCGUUACAGUAAGUA